RNAcentral lists this long non-coding RNA (231 nucleotides) under Lathyrus oleraceus (garden pea). RNAcentral's name for it is "Pisum sativum (pea) long non-coding RNA (PSAT_LNC017937)". Lineage: Eukaryota; Viridiplantae; Streptophyta; Magnoliopsida; Fabales; Fabaceae. The record is from RNAcentral.
GCCCCAAAACUUCUCGACGUCUCGGCUCAGAAAGUAGCUCAUGGGGAGCUCGGACGAAGUAUCAUAGGCAGUCUGGAAACCAAGCAAGUCGCCGAAACACUUGUGGUUGAAGGUGUAUUCUUCCCCAAAUAACCUGAAGUUAACGUAUCCUCCAUCACUGGCGUGACCAACAUAAGGCUCGUAGACAAGCGAGCUCAGGAACUCCAAAGUCAGGUUCCUGUAAGUUACGUG